AAAAACCCUAAAACCCCCAAAAUUUUGGCAAAAAACCCGUCUCUUCUCCAUCUCACUAUCGCCGCUGGCGGACCAAUUCGACAAUUGAGUAGCUGGCGGUUCGAUUCCUCCUUCGAGCAGCUGGAGGAUCAAUUCCACCAUCGAGUACCAGGCGAAUGUGGUGGCGCCGUUGCAGACAAUGAAUCGGGCUGCAUGAUUAAUUCAGAUCCAGGAACGAUGACAAUCAGGUAAUUUUUGAAAAUUUCCUAGUCCCCUUAUUGGAUUGUAGAGUGGUUGUGGAUGGAGAUGAGGCGUGAUUCAAUGGCGUGGCGUUUCAAUAAACUUGCUGUGGAAUUAGGUUCAACAGUUGAGGGAAGUUGCUUAAUUAAUCUAUAUAUGUAUUAUCAAUUCAAUUCAAAGCUGAAAUUAGCCGAAAGAAGGGUACAGAUUCUAUUUUGAAGCUCAAGAUUCUAAGAAUUUUAAUUCCCAAUCUGCCAAUGGAUUGAAUUCAAGCCUCUGCUGAUUUCGAAACAACUAUUGCUCUAAAUUAAUUUUUUUUUUUUUUUUGGGUUUCGGAUAGAAAAAUAUUGGUGAAAUUGGGUUAUUGACAGUGCCCACAGGAAAGGGAUACAUGGUUCUUUUGCAAAGGCUAGGUCUUGUAUUCAAUCAGGUUUCAAAGAUUGUGUUCAAAAAUAAAAUCAGGUUACAAUACGUCUGUUCAUAUAUGUAUGUAGAGAGAAAUAGAGAGAGAGAGUUUGUUAGGGUUUAACAAUUUAAGGAGUUUUGCAAUUGUGAAUUUGGAUUGUGAAGUUUGAAUUUGGGUUGUGAAAUUUGGCUAAUGCACAAACAAUCAUGAUGCAAAUUUCAAAUACAUGUAUAAGAUACGCUAUAUGAAUAGAGAAUGAAUUUUCACGUGAUAUAAGAUAUUAUUUUCACAAGGGAUUCCAAUCUUAACAUAAGGCUCUGAUACCAAUUGUCGGUUUGAAUUUGGCAUGUUAAGAGUUGGAAUCACAACUUUAAUAAACCAAUGAAUUAAAUACGUACCUGCGAAAGCAAUCAAUAUGAAUUAUGGAUGUAAUAUAUAAUAGAGGCUGGAUCUUCCCCUCCUUGCUCCUCACAAAAUUGAAAGCUAUCAAUGGGACAAGCUUAAACGAUAUAGAGAGGAGAAGGGACCUAGCCUUUAUAUAGGAAUCAAAUAGGUCUCCCAUUAAGACUCAACAGGCCCUUAUUAGGGUUUUUAUUCCGGCCCACAUACUUAAAAUUACCACAUUAUUUAAUUUCAACCCGUAAGGUGUAAAGCCCCAAUUGAUCACAUAAUUAAUUUGGCCCAAUAACAAAACACAAUGAGCUAUAUGUCUAAC
RNAcentral lists this long non-coding RNA (1340 nucleotides) under Olea europaea (common olive). Its description in RNAcentral is "long non-coding RNA (OEUR_LNC005821)". The record is from RNAcentral. Lineage: Eukaryota; Viridiplantae; Streptophyta; Magnoliopsida; Lamiales; Oleaceae.